UUUGUCCAGGGGGCCGCCUUCGCCACCGGUAUUCCUCCAGAUCUCUACGCAUUUCACCGCUACACCUGGAAUUCUACCCCCCUCUACAAGACUCUAGCCUGCCAGUUUCGGAUGCAGUUCCCAGGUUGAGCCCGGGGAUUUCACAUCCGACUUGACAGACCGCCUGCGUGCGCUUUACGCCCAGUAAUUCCGAUUAACGCUUGCACCCUCCGUAUUACCGCGGCUGCUGGCACGGAGUUAGCCGGUGCUUCUUCUGCGAGUAACGUCAAUUGCUGCGGUUAUUAACCACAACACCUUCCUCCUCGCUGAAAGUACUUUACAACCCGAAGGCCUUCUUCAUACACGCGGCAUGGCUGCAUCAGGCUUGCGCCCAUUGUGCAAUAUUCCCCACUGCUGCCUCCCGUAGGAGUCUGGACCGUGUCUCAGUUCCAGUGUGGCUGGUCAUCCUCUCAGACCAGCUAGGGAUCGUCGCCUAGGUGAGCCGUUACCCCACCUACUAGCUAAUCCCAUCUGGGCACAUCCGAUGGCAAGAGGCCCGAAGGUCCCCCUCUUUGGUCUUGCGACGUUAUGCGGUAUUAGCUACCGUUUCCAGUAGUUAUCCCCCUCCAUCGGGCAGUUUCCCAGACAUUACUCACCCGUCCGCCACUCGUCACCCAAGGAGCAAGCUCCUCUGUGCUACCGUUCGACUUGCAUGUGUUAGGCCUGCCGCCAGCGUUCAA
RNAcentral lists this ribosomal RNA (719 nucleotides) under Enterobacter kobei. RNAcentral describes it as "partial 16S rRNA". The record is from RNAcentral. RNAcentral also lists the same sequence under 1 other name. Lineage: Bacteria; Pseudomonadati; Pseudomonadota; Gammaproteobacteria; Enterobacterales; Enterobacteriaceae.